AACGACUCUCGGCAACGGAUAUCUCGGCUCUCGCAUCGAUGAAGAACGUAGCGAAAUGCGAUACUUGGUGUGAAUUGCAGAAUCCCGUGAACCAUCGAGUCUUUGAACGCAAGUUGCGCCCGAAGCCUUUGGCUGAGGNNNCGUCUGCCUGGGCG
Molecule: ribosomal RNA, 155 nt
Filed under: Saponaria calabrica
Lineage: Eukaryota; Viridiplantae; Streptophyta; Magnoliopsida; Caryophyllales; Caryophyllaceae
Description: 5.8S ribosomal RNA
Rfam family: 5.8S ribosomal RNA
About the family: 5.8S ribosomal RNA (5.8S rRNA) is a component of the large subunit of the eukaryotic ribosome.
Source: RNAcentral